AUUUGGUUUAUUUGGUUUAUAUUUUGCAUAAAUAUUCUGUUAAGAUCGGGUGGCGCCAUCUAGGUUCGAAGCCGACUGGCAACCUAAGGAUCAGCUGUCCCUUUUGACAAAUCGUCUGUCAGUGUCAGUGUCACUGUCAUUUUUCCUUCGAGAGAGAGGCUUAUUUCCGGCUUCGGCUCACUUACACUCUUACGGCUCCAAGCCAAGUCUUUUCCAUUUGGCAGCCAACGAGACCAGACGUCUCAGUUUAACAAGAAAACAAAAGGUGACUACCAACAGAAGCAAAUUAUAAAGCUUAAAGCUCAAAGCUGAGGAAACUGCAGAGGAGGAGAUCAUUUGCUGGUUUCUUUUUGGUUUUGCUAGUGAACAAAAAAAGGAAAAACUACUAUCCACUGCCACGUGCCAGGUCCACCCAGGGGCUUGGCAGCGGAAUUUUUUUUGUAUGCAGAGGUUAAGGCCGUCCUGGGAAAAGUCAGCAGCCAGCGGAAAAUUGAGUAAAAGUGGAAAUUGGAAAUUAAAUUAGCCAAGAAAACCCAUGCUUAAAAAUAGUGCUUAAAAACUAUGACUAAAAUUCCCCACCAAAAAUUAACCUAACACGUGCAGCCUGAAAAAAAAAAAAAACAAUUACAGUGAAACAAAUAAUAUAUAAAGUGAAAAAUGGAAAAAAAAAACCGUAAAAAGAAAAGAAUAAUGUGCAAAACGAAAAAUUUUAAUAUAUCCAUGUAUAUAUCUAGAAAGCUGUUCUGAAGUCAAGAAAGAAACGAAAAUGAAUUUUUUUUUUAUUUGUGGUUCCCGACACACUA
Drosophila ficusphila is the source of this 803-nucleotide long non-coding RNA. RefSeq lists it as uncharacterized. The record is from RefSeq and is a predicted model, not a curated record. The transcript is spliced from 3 exons. Lineage: Eukaryota; Metazoa; Arthropoda; Insecta; Diptera; Drosophilidae.